This 424-nucleotide ribosomal RNA is filed under the name uncultured prokaryote. Its description in RNAcentral is "bacterial SSU rRNA". It matches the Rfam family "Bacterial small subunit ribosomal RNA", at positions 355 to 776 of the family's 1533-position model. The record is from RNAcentral. RNAcentral also lists the same sequence under 1 other name.
UGAGGAAUAUUGGUCAAUGGACGGAAGUCUGAACCAGCCAUGCCGCGUGAAGGAUUAAGGCCCUAUGGGUCGUAAACUUCUUUUGUGGUGGAGCAAUAAGGUCUACGUGUAGAUUGAUGAGAGUACAUCACGAAUAAGCAUCGGCUAACUCCGUGCCAGCAGCCGCGGUAAUACGGAGGAUGCAAGCGUUAUCCGGAUUUAUUGGGUUUAAAGGGUGCGUAGGCUGUUCUUCAAGUCAGGGGUGAAAGCCCGGCGCUUAACGCCGGAACUGCCUUUGAUACUGUUGAGCUGGAAUACGGAUGCCGUGGGAGGAAUGAGUAGUGUAGCGGUGAAAUGCAUAGAUAUUACUCAGAACACCGAUUGCGAAGGCAUCUCACGAAUCCGUUAUUGACGCUGAGGCACGAAAGCGUGGGGAGCAAACAGG